GAUGAAGAACGUAGCGAACUGCGAUAAGUAAUGUGAAUUGCAGAAUUCAGUGAAUCAUCGAAUCUUUGAACGCACCUUGCGCCCGCCAGUAUUCUGGCGGGCAUGCCUGUCUGAGCGUCAUUUCAACCCUCAAGCAACUUCUGCUUGGUGUUGGGGAUCGGCCGUCAAACGCCGCCCCCGAAAUCUAUUGGCGAUCUCGCUGUAGCUUCCUAUGCGUAGUAGUAACAUCUCGCAUCUGGAGAGCGGCGCGGUCAUGCCGUAAAACACCCAACUUCUCAGGUUGACCUCAGAUCAGGUAGGAAUACCCGCUGAACUUAAGCAUAUCAAUAAGCGGAGGA
Molecule: unclassified non-coding RNA, 338 nt
Filed under: soil metagenome
Description: partial contains 5.8S ribosomal RNA, internal transcribed spacer 2, and large subunit ribosomal RNA
Rfam family: 5.8S ribosomal RNA (bases 1-120)
Source: RNAcentral